Molecule: ribosomal RNA, 427 nt
Filed under: uncultured bacterium
Lineage: Bacteria
Description: bacterial SSU rRNA
Rfam family: Bacterial small subunit ribosomal RNA
Source: RNAcentral
UGGGGAAUUUUGGACAAUGGGCGAAAGCCCGAUCCAGCCAUGCCGCGUGAGUGAAGAAGGCCUUCGGGUUGUAAAGCUCUUUUAGUCGGAAAGAAAGAGUUGCAAUGAAUAAUUGUGAUUUAUGACGGUACCGACAGAAAAAGCACCGGUUAACUACGUGCCAGCAGCCGCGGUAAUACGUAGGGUGCGAGCGUUAAUCGGAAUUACUGGGCGUAAAGGGUGCGCAGGCGGUCUUGCAAGUCAGAUGUGAAAGCCCCGGGCUUAACCUGGGAAUUGCGUUUGAAACUACAAGACUAGAGUGCAGCAGAGGGGAGUGGAAUUCCAUGUGUAGCAGUGAAAUGCGUAGAGAUGUGGAAGAACACCGAAGGCGAAGGCAGCUCCCUGGGUUGACACUGACGCUCAUGCACGAAAGCGUGGGGAGCAAACA